This 251-nucleotide ribosomal RNA is filed under the name uncultured bacterium. RNAcentral's name for it is "partial 16S ribosomal RNA". It matches the Rfam family "Bacterial small subunit ribosomal RNA", at positions 528 to 779 of the family's 1533-position model. The record is from RNAcentral.
CGUAGGGCGAGCGUUAUCCGGAAUUAUUGGGCGUAAAGCGCGCGCAGGCGGUCAUUUAAGUCAGGUGUGAAAGGCUGCGGCUCAACCGCAGAGCGGCACCUGAAACUGGAUGACUUGAGUGCAGGAGAGGAGAGCGGAAUUCCCGGUGUAGCGGUGGAAUGCGUAGAGAUCGGGAGGAACACCAGUGGCGAAGGCGGCUCUCUGGCCUGUUUCUGACGCUGAGGCGCGAAAGCGUGGGAGCAAACAGGAUU